Molecule: long non-coding RNA, 3820 nt
Filed under: Homo sapiens (human)
Lineage: Eukaryota; Metazoa; Chordata; Mammalia; Primates; Hominidae
Description: HSALNT0313073
Source: RNAcentral
UCUGACUUUACCUAAGAUUAUAGCAAAGCACUAAUAAGUUGAAGAACAAUCAGCAGUUAACUUAGACUUUCACACCACAAAAGCAGAGUAAGAAUGAGAGGACUCCACCCCAGCUACCCACACAAGAACCGGGCCAGGGUAAAAUCAAACUCUGUUGUGGCCUGAGACACAGGGUUUGAUUUUUACCCUGGCCAAGUUCUUGUGUGGGUAUCUGGGGUGGAGCUACCCACACAAUAGGAACAACAUUGAGAGGAAGCCCAAAGAUUUUUCAGGGAGAAGCAUUCUUCAACUUGUUACCCAUUUUUCCUAAACAGAAAGUGUCUUCAGUCUCAUGCUUUUGCUUAUCCCUGUGGUAUUUACACCAAUCAGACCAUGAAGAGAUGAUGCUGUGGUGGCAGCACAAAAAAACUGUGUUGGAGUUUUGAAGCAUUGAUAGCAUUUCCUUCAAGUUGUCACUAAAAUAUAAUUUGAAGAAAAUAAGGUAGACCUGUAAAAACCAGAAUAUGCUUUUCUUUUAGUGUCUUUCUAUACAAACAGAAAUAUACCCAAGUUCCUCUGGAACUCACGAGAUAUCUUCAUGAUUGAGCCAGAGGGCUGCUGUGUUUAGAAAACAUAACCCUAGACACAGUGAUCAUUGAUUUAAAUGUAACUUCUAAACUCUCAAGCAAAAACUUGAAAAAGGUCACACAUCUGGACCAUUGUCCAGCACCCACUUUAUAAAAUACCUUCCCCUGUACCUUGAGGUGUACAAAAUCUGUGACUUAGUUUGCAUUUUAUAAACAAUAGUUUUACUUAUUAUUAACAUAGACAGAAAAGACAUUUGGGCACCAUGUAUAAAGUUCUAUGAAUCUUUAAGAACGAUUGGAACCUGUUAAAGAAUACUUUUCUCAGAACAUAUCUUACUUCUUAAAGUUAAAACUAGUUAGAUGAUAACGUGUAUUUAAUUCAGCUCAACAGUGAGGUCAAAAACAGGAAGAGGUCUUUAAGAACAGCGGUAAUGUAAUGGCAACACAUGAUAAAAAUUAAUGUAACAGAAUGGAAAGUUUUUUCUAAUAAGAAGCAUCUAUAUGAUAAAAAUAUGCACAAUUAAAAUGUUUUGAGGGCUUAAAAAUCCAUGGCCUUUACUCUUUAAUAUUUUUAUUAAUCUAAUAAAUAAAAUCAGUUAAACAAUCAAAUAGUAGUAAAAGGUUAUGACAAAACCCAGCAAUUCCCUUUCCAUUUCUAUUCACCUCAGCCCUGCUGCCCAAAAGCAACAACUUUUAAAUCUUUUUGAUCUGUCUAUUUACCUCUGUAUUUCUAAGUUUAAUCUCUUAUCUGUUCUAUUAUAUAUUCAUUAGAAGCCUGCCUAUCUGUGGUCUCUUUACUUAUUUUUUCUCUUUCUCUUAUAUUUUCCUCAAAUAUCUGAUGACCCUGGCUAUCUAUUAUUCUUUCUAAUGUUUUCUCAUUGAUUCAAGUAAUUUUGUUUGCUCUUAUUUUUAUUAUAAGUUCUAGGGUACAUGUGCACAACGUGCAGGUUUAUUACAUAGGUAUACAUGCGCCGUGUUGGUUUUGCUGCACCCAUCAACUUAUAAUUUACAUUAGGUAUUUCUCCUAAUGCUAUCCCUCCCCCAGCCCACUACCUCCCAACAGGCCCCGGUGCGUGACGUUCCCCUCCCUGUGUCCAGGUGUUCUCAUUGUUCAACUCCCACCUAUGAGUGAGAACAUGCAGUGUUUGGUUUUCUGUCCUUGUGAUGUUUUGCUGAGAAUGAUGGUUUCCAGCUUCAUCCAUGUCCCUGUAAAGGACAUGAACUCAUUCUUUUUUAUGGCUGCAUAGUAUUCCAUGGUGUGUAUGUGCCACAUUUUCUUUAUCCAUUCUAUCAUUGAGGGACAUUUGGGUUGGUUCCAAGUCUUUGCUAUUGUGAAUAGUGCCACAAUAAACAUACAUGUGCAUGUGUCUUUAUAGUAGCAUGAUUUAUAAUCCUUUGGGUAUAUACCCAGUAAUGAGAUUGCUGGGUCAAAUGGUAUUUCUAGUUCUAGAUCCUUGAGGAAUCGCCACACUGUCUUCCACAAUGGUUGAACUAAUUUACACUCCCACCAACAGUGUAAAAGCAUUCCUAUUUCUCCACAUCCUCUCCAGCAUCUAUUGUUUCCUGACUUUUUAAUGAUUGCCAUUCUAACUGGCGUGAGAUGGUAUCUCAUUAUGGUUUUGAUUUGCAAUUCUCUGAUGACCAGUGAUGAUGAGCAUGUUUUCAUAUGUCUGUUGGCUGCAUAAGUGUCUUCUUUUGAGAAGUGUCUGUUCAUAUCCUUUGCCCACUUUUUGAUGGGGUUGUUUUCUUCUUGUAAAUUUUUUUAAGUUCUUUGUAAAUUCUACUUUGUAAAGUAGGGGCAAAGAAAAGAGUUAAUCAUUUUGUAGUGAAAAUGUCAAAGCCUACAGCAGUAUUUUUUUUUUCUCUAGAACUAUUCAUUAUUUAUUUGGAAAAAAAAAAAAGCCCUUGAAUCUCCUGCCCAGCUGGAGACCAAGUUCCCAUAAAGAAACGGGGCAGCCGAUGGGCUAGAGCCCUCAGUCAGUAGCUCACUUGCUCACUUUCAAGAAACCCCUUAUUUUCAGCCCCGGUCGAUUAUCUGCCUUUGAAAGGUUUAAAUAACAGGGGGAGAUGCUUAAGGCAUAAAAAAGAAAACAGUGAGUAUUCAAAAUUAUAUAUGCAAUAUGAUUUAACUACAUUAAAAUAUGCAUAAAAUACCUAGAAAGAAAUAUACCAAAAUUUUGAGUAUUUAUGGUGACUUCUGAGUGGUGGAAUCAAAUGUAAUUAUAUCCUUAAUACCAUUGUUUAUUUUCCAAGAUUUCCACAAAGCAUACACACUAAUUUAAAUACGUGGGAAAAAUACUUGAUUUUUAAAGAAACAUGUAUCAGGAUGCCAACAAGAAAACCCACAGAAGUGAAUGUUAGUAUCAGAGUAAGAGUUUUUCUGAUCAUAGCUUAAAAGAUUUUAAUUAAAUACUUGAUAUACACAUUAAUAUUUAUAAAAUAUGAGGAUACUAAGAAAUAUCCUAUUAAUAUAUUGAAAUGUUGAAAUGGCCACUUGUAUAUCAGAAUCCAGCUGUAGAACACUACUAAGAACUUUGAAGCCAUCUGUGAAUCCUGCCUCAGUUCCAUUCUCCAUUCACCUGAAUUUGGUAUUUGUCAUUAGCUUUUCAUUAGUUUUAUCACUUAUGUGUAUCUUUAAAUAGCCUAUGGCCUAGCUUUGCAUCUUUUGAAUUUUGUACAAAUGGAACCACAUUGCAUGUAUUGUUCUGCAGGUUAUUUUAUCUUCACUCAAUGUCUGUGAUAUUCAUCCAUAUUAAUUUUCCCAGUUCUAUAAUUUAUAUACACAUAACAUGAGUCUAGGGCAUUUCAUUUUAUUAAUAUACCAGAAUUUAUUUAUCUAUUCUUCCAUUUAUUAAACUUGGGUUGCUUCUAGAUUUUAUCAUUACAAUUUUACCUCUUCUUUUCUAAUCUUUGUAUUUCUAAUUCUUUCUCUUGUCUAAACUUAUUAGCUUAGCAUCUCUAAUACAAUAUUGAAUAAUAGUAGUGAUACUGAAGAUCCUUAUCUUGUUUCUGCCUGCUAAUUUCUCUUUUUCCUUUUCUUCAGUUUGCUUGGUUGUCUUGUAAAAUUUCUUGAUUGAGAAAUAGUUUAUUUUCAUUUUUCCUUCUUUAUCAAUAUAAAUAUUUAAGGCUUUAAGAAAACGCUGUGGCCGGGCGCGGUGGCUCACGCCUGUAAUCCCAGCACUUUGGGAGGCCGAGGCGGGCGGAUCACGAGGUCACGAGUUCGAGAUCAGCCUGGCCAACAUAGUAAAACUCUG